This 261-nucleotide ribosomal RNA is filed under the name uncultured prokaryote. Its description in RNAcentral is "partial 16S ribosomal RNA". It matches the Rfam family "Bacterial small subunit ribosomal RNA", at positions 524 to 784 of the family's 1533-position model. The record is from RNAcentral.
UACGUAGGUGGCAAGCGUUGUCCGGAAUUACUGGGUGUAAAGGGCGUGUAGGCGGGAAGAUAAGUCAGAUGUGAAAUCCCAGGGCUUAACUCUGGAGCUGCAUCUGAAACUGUUUUUCUUGAGUACUGGAGAGGAAAGUGGAAUUCCUAGUGUAGCGGUGAAAUGCGUAGAGAUUAAGAAGAACACCAGUGGCGAAGGCGAUUCUCUGGACUGUGACUGACGCUGAGGCUCGAAAGCGUGGGGAGCAAACAGGAUUAGAUA